UCCAUCGUGACAUGAGUAAGGUAAAUA
Molecule: non-coding RNA, 27 nt
Filed under: Bombyx mori (domestic silkworm)
Lineage: Eukaryota; Metazoa; Arthropoda; Insecta; Lepidoptera; Bombycidae
Source: RNAcentral